CGCACCCUUCUUCCCUUUCUCUCUCCUUCUCUCCAAAUUCCCAUUUCCUAUUUGCUUCUCCCAGCCGCCCACCCCUCUAUGAACCCCUCUCCCUGUCUCUCAUUCUCCAUCGCGUUGCUAGCCCUCGGCCCCUCGCUUGAGCUCGCUCACCGUCGCUAGCCCUCAGCCCCUCGCUCGCUCUUGGCUUUCCCUCGCUCGAGCUCGCCUGCCGUCGCUAGCCCUCGGCCCCUCGCUCGAGCUCGCCCUCGGCCCCUCACUUGUGCUCACCCUCGGCCGCCAUGGCUAGCCCUCAGCCCCUCACUUGCUCUCGCCCUCCCCUGGCUCGAGCUCGCCCUCAGCUCCUCACCCGCCGUCGCUUGCGCUCGCCCUCGGCCCCUCGGUCGUCGUCGUUGACUUGCUCUCGCCUCUCGCAGUUCCUCAGGUGGUGAUGCCUCACUUACCACACAUGCUUCAACAUCAUUGUCAGCUCCACUACAGCCCCCAGCAUCCUCCCUAGCUCCACCACAGCCUCCAACAUUCUCCUUAUCUCCACCACAACCUCCAUUAUUUGCGCAUGCUCCAUCACAACCUCUAGCAUCUAGCCAGAUUCCAUCAGGAGCAUCCAUCCCAAAUCCACCACAACAUUCGGAAUCCACACGCUCGUCUACAUCACAUCGUUACUGGACAUUUAAUGUGAUAGAUGAAGAAGGACUUAUAAAACAGGAAAAACUAAUGGUUAAAGAUGUUUGGUUACUAGCACGUGGAAGGCGUGUUAUGUUAGAGUUCAAUGAAUCACUCCAACCAAUUGGAGAUCCAGCUAGACUUCUUGGAGGGAUUUUAGAAGAAUUAGCCUAUGAUUUUGUUGCUUUUCCCGUCAACUAUGAAAGUUGGCACAAAGUACUGAAGACAUACAAAGAAGAAAUUUAUAAAAAUAGAAUCAUGGAAAAAUUUAAUGUUGACGAGGGGCCUGCUAAAAUUUUUAUUUUGAAGAACAUUGGGAAGAAAUGGAAGGACACUAGAUGUAAAUUAUACCAUGAGUGGUAUGAUCCCACCAUUGGUCGAGAAACAAAUAUUACAAAGCAUCCAUCGGGAAUAUCUCAAGACCAAUGGGCAAGUUUUAUUGACUAUCGUGAACGAGAUAAGAUUAAGGUGAUGUUACUAAUUUUGUUUAUAAGAUUACGAAUAUUUAUACGACAAAGUGGUUAGGAUUAAACUAAUGAUGUUUUUGUUGGAUAUCUAGGAGAUAUGUCAAAAAAAUAUUGAAAAUCGAUUCAAAUUGACAAUUCCACACACAGGAGGAUCGAAGAGUCUAGCAAGGAAAAAAUAUGAGAUGGUAAUAUUGCAAAAAUUUAUCCUAAGUAUGAAUUUUUUAUUCUAACAUCAACUAAUAUUUAUGUGAAAUUGUUCUAAAUUAUAGGAAAUUGAGAGUGGUCAGCCUGUGAGUAGGGGUCUAUUAUACAUCACGACGUAUAAGAAGAAAGAUUGAUAUUUUGUAAAUGAAGGAGCACAAACUAUAAGCAUAAGUUUUUUUUUGUAUCAUAACCAUUCCAUUUUUUGAAUCAUAGAAGAAGCUUUUAUCUAUAUUAUGCUUUAUUAGUAAACGAGUUAUAAGUUUAGUUAAACUUGCUAGCAGAAAACAUGCAUAUAUGAGAACUGAUGGAUGAUUAGUGUGAGCCCAUAUGACCCAGAAGACUGUUUAACUUCUUUUGUUUGAAUUUCAAAGGAAGACCAUUGACGUUUGGAUGUUCCUUUGGAAUUUGAAACAGGCAUCUCCUACAUUUGACACAAUCCUUCGGUCUUCAUUUGUUUCUUUUUUUAAAAUAAAAAACAUAUAACACAAUCUUAGUAAGCCUACUUAAUUUGAAUAGCUCAAAUUAAAUGAAAAUCUUGUGUUUUUUUUUAAAGUAACGAGACUCAGUUUGGUCAAAGUUAUGUCAAAUGAAAGAAAAAAAAAAUGUUUCACAAGGCUGGCCCCAAUUUGUAGUACGUAAAAGCAUCAAAUGUUUUUGCUUAUUUUAAAAAAUAUACUAAAAACUAAAGUUAAGGGGAAACAGACAGGAGUGCAUGGUUUAUGAUUUUCCUACUUAUAUUGGUGUUCAGUAGGCUUUUGGUUUAUGAUUUGCAGAAGAUGCUAAUUUUUGAGAUGUUCACAAAAGCGAAUGACUGAAUUGCAAGUUCUUAAUUUAUAUUUUUUGUGCGCAUGGGCUCAGGGGCCAGAUGGAAGUUUUGGAUUACUGGUGAUGUAAACAAGCUUCUUAGUGAGAUCUUCUCUAACCUUUUUUAUAGCAUGGGAAACGACGAGACUUUGUUGGGGGAUUGUUUUUAUCUCCACUGUUGGCUCGACAUGGUCUCAUCAAUUUUAGAUGCAACCUCUAGAAUUGGGAGUUUUGAUUCUUUAACAAUCCUUUUUGAAUCUCUUAAUGUAGUGGCCAUUCCUUAUAUGAAUCUCUUAAUGUAGUUCAAUUAAUGACCACAACAUCGGCAUCAUUUUUUCAAGUAGCACAUUUUUUCCAUGUAGAUUCCAACUGUUCAAAAUAUGUCAUCCUGCUUCAUUAGUAGAAUUCAGAAAGAAGCAAAUUUCCUUUCUUGUUUUCCAUCUAUACUUAAGUCCUUUUAUUAGAUGAUUCACCUAAAUUGUGUUCUCCUGUGCAGUCAAAUUUCCUUUCUUGUAAGCUAUAUACUACCUGAAAUACUGCAGGCUUUUGAUAGCCAUAUAUGAUGACCUUACUUUUGCCAGUUUAAUUUUCUAAAUGACAUUAUGUGUUAUGGAAAAGUUAUUGAAAUGCACUCUUUCUACUUGUUUACCUCUGAAACUAUAAGUAAUAUUUACUCUCUCAGGGGGUGUUGCAAACACCAACUAGAGCUAUAGGUGUUCAUUCUGUAGUGGUUGAAUGAGAGCUAGUCAGAAGACUUAUUUUUUUUCCUCAAGGAGGAUGUUAGUAACGCUGUUGUCAAACAUUCAUGUUUUAGACACUUGCAGAGUGAGCAUCUUAGAUUGGAUAAUAUAUUUUCUUCUUUAUGAAAUGUUAUGGUGAUUACUUGUUCAAGAAUAGAGACUGAUGUGAAUCUUAGGAUGGAGUUUCUCUAAGAUCACAGCCAAACAGACUUUGUACAUUGAAGGGAUGGAGGACAGUUGAUUCAUGACAUGGCCUCUUUUUCUUUCUAUUUUUUGUUUUUUCUUUUUUCCUUAGCACGUUUAUAUUACAACCUUUUGAUACUAGUUUACCAGCUCAAAGCAAACAUGUGAUAAAAUUGUAUUUGUAGUGCCCGAAUAUUAAUAAGUAGGUUGUUAUUUAAUUAAAAUUUGAUUUUUAACUUGAACUCAAAACUGCAAUUUCAGCUGAAAUUAGGGUUGGGAAAUUUAGACGAGAGAGGUUGAAGAUGAUGAAGGGAUAGUUUUGAAGCAAUAUUAGGAAGGCAGUCAGCCAGGUAGCAUUUGUCUGGUCUUAUUUGGGCUUCUAAUUCAUAUCAUCCAGCUUUUUAACACACACACACACAUAUAUAUAUAUUGAUUUGAUGCAUUGGUUGGCUGGAUUGGAUGUUUUUAACUUCUUGUUAAAAUUCUUGCAUGUGCUUUGAGUCUUUGACUACGUCUAGAUGUGAGCAGUACUAUAACCAAUUAAAUAAUGCCCUUCACAUUUUCUUAUAUUUUGUUGAAGUUUUCCUUGUGACAAUUUUCCCACCUUUUUUUUGUGCGUGUUGUUCAAAAGACAUGUAAUAAUAAAGGUGAAUGUGACAUUGAAACUUUUGAGUAAGACCCAAAUCUUUUUCUGAGAUUUUUAUGAUUGAUAUUGUUUUUUAA
Molecule: long non-coding RNA, 3781 nt
Organism: Diospyros lotus (date-plum)
Lineage: Eukaryota; Viridiplantae; Streptophyta; Magnoliopsida; Ericales; Ebenaceae
Exons: 4
Source: RefSeq, a predicted model, not a curated record